GCGUCGGUGGCCUAGUGGUUAGGCUCUCGGACUCACAAUCGUAAGGUCGUGGGUUCGAAUCCCGUCUGGGGCA
Aplysia californica (California sea hare) is the source of this 73-nucleotide non-coding RNA. The record is from the annotation of a RefSeq genome assembly. NCBI's taxonomy places the organism in Eukaryota, Metazoa, Mollusca, Gastropoda, Aplysiida, Aplysiidae.